This 433-nucleotide ribosomal RNA is filed under the name uncultured bacterium. RNAcentral's name for it is "partial 16S ribosomal RNA". It matches the Rfam family "Bacterial small subunit ribosomal RNA", at positions 29 to 507 of the family's 1533-position model. The record is from RNAcentral.
AGCGAACGCUGGCGGCAGGCCUAACACAUGCAAGUCGAACGAACUCUUCGGAGUUAGUGGCGGACGGGUGAGUAACACGUGGGAACGUGCCUUUUGGUUCGGAAUAACUCAGGGAAACUUGUGCUAAUACCGAAUGUGCCCUUCGGGGGAAAGAUUUAUCGCCAUUAGAGCGGCCCGCGUCUGAUUAGCUAGUUGGUGAGGUAACGGCUCACCAAGGCGACGAUCAGUAGCUGGUCUGAGAGGAUGACCAGCCACACUGGGACUGAGACACGGCCCAGACUCCCACGGGAGGCAGCAGUGGGGAAUCUUACGCAAUGGGCGAAAGCCUGACGCAGCCAUGCCGCGUGAAUGAUGAAGGUCUUAGGAUUGUAAAAUUCUUUCACCGGGGACGAUAAUGACGGUACCCGGAGAAGAAGCCCCGGCUAACUUCGUG